This 534-nucleotide ribosomal RNA is filed under the name uncultured eukaryote. RNAcentral describes it as "bacterial SSU rRNA". It matches the Rfam family "Eukaryotic small subunit ribosomal RNA", at positions 682 to 1211 of the family's 1831-position model. The record is from RNAcentral.
GGCGCCGCCCCGGGGCUCGUGAUAUCUUAUCUCGCCGCCCGUCGCGAGGCGGACGGAGGGAUGGAUGAGGUUACCUGGAAAAAUCGGGGCGAUCUAGGCGGGCGAACCUCGCCAACGAACGAUCGGACAUGGGAUAACGGAAGAGGGCGUCGGCUCGACUUCGUCGGUUCCUCGGGCCGAGGCACGUACGGUGAAUAGGGACGGUCGGGGCCGCCCGUACCGGGUCGUGAGAGGUGAAAUUCUAGGAUCGACCCGAGACGAACUGCCGCGAAAGCAUUCGGCAAGGACGCUUUCAUUAAUCAAGAACGAAAGUCGGGGGAUCGAAGACGAUCAGAUACCGUCGUAGUCCCGACCGUAAACGAUGCCGACCGAGGGCCCGGAGGAGUUACGUACGACCCUCCGGGCCCUCCCGCGAGAAAUCAGGAGUAUUCGGGUUCCGGGGGGAGUAUGGUCGCAAGGCCGAAACUUAAAGGAAUUGACGGAAGGGCACCACCAGGAGUGGAAUCUGCGGCUUAAUUUGACUCAACGCGGGAU